AUUAUUAUCUAUAUCUAUAUAACUAUAUAAAACAUCUUCCAUGUACAUAAUGGUCAUUUCAAGCACCUUUUUUAAGAUGGCAUAUGAAAAGGCAGUUAAAAACUCUAAUUUUUUGUCAUUUUCUCCCAUUUCUGCCCCUCUUUCCUCACACACCGGCCUCUCUCUUUCCCCCAUAAAAAGUUAAAAACCUAUCACAUGCCUUCAGUUUUCAAUUGCAAAUGAAGCGUCUUGCCUUCCUGAUUCCUGAGAUAGAGUCUUUUGUUUACUUCAAUUGAAUGUCCAAAUUGAUGACAUUAAUUGUCAUCAGUUUACUACAACUGAAUAGUCAUCAGUUUACUGAAAUUGAAUAGGAGAUAGAAUUUCACAAUUGCUCCUUCUCUCUUUAUCACUAAUUCAAACCGUAGUGGAUUUUGUAAUAACCCUAAAUCUCCUUAUGUCUUUAUUACUAAUCUAAACCAGAUUUCGAGGUAACUUUUUGAGUUUUCGCUAUUUCUUUAAUUUCGAUUCAGUUGUUUUAUCAAUCUUGUUGAUCCGGCCAUCGAUUUGUACUUUCCAUUGGGGUUGGUGUCCCCCGGUGAUUGACACAUCUGUGAUUAAUGGUACAUACAAAAAGGAUUUAUUGAAAACAAUGAUACUACUGUUCAAGUUACCAAUUGGAUGUUUAUGCAUUUUUAUAGUCAGGUGUCUUGAUAAUAUCAUGCUGUUGUGUUGUCUGUAAUAUAUUAUGAUUUUAAAAGAUUAAUGCGCUCAAUAUGGAUUAUCGGAGUUCAGACCAGCUAGCGAGACCGAGAACCUACUCUGUUGGAAUGUCGACGAAGACUUCUCUAUCGUUCAAUCGCGAGAUCGGAGAUUUUGUUAGUAAAAUCUAUUUCACUAUUUGCCUUGUGUUCACUCUUUUGCGAUAUCUCGGUACAAGUAAGCUGUUUAUUGUACUGAAAUUGGUUAAAGAAUGGUUAAAUUUUGAAUGAAUUUGCUUUAAUAGGUUGAUCUGAAUGUGUAGAUUUUGAUUUCUGUAUGCGUUACAGAUCUGAGAUAGCAACAGAUCAAAUGAAACAAGGUGAACAAAUAGAGAAGAUAAGAUUCGAAAAAUAACAAAGAGCAGUGAAGCGAUGGUGGCAGGUUUACCGGAAAAACAGAGCUUAGUCACCCGAAAAGGUCACCGGAGAUGAUGGAGUUUUGAUACCAUGAAGAAACUCAUGAUAAUCAGGUAUCAUAGGAAUUCUAUCAAUGUUUUUCUUGUCAUUCCAUGAAAAACUGCAUAUUGUACUCGCACUACUGUCUUUAACUGCUGGAAGUGUUGGCGUUGCAAUAGCAGAUGUAACCGUUGAUGCGGGCGUAGCGCAAUAAAGCGGUAUUCAUCCUUCACUUGCUCCAGACAUGCAAAGCUUAUGUGCCCUCAGUUCUUCCAUUGGACGCCUGAUCGGAUUUGCUUCAAGUGGCGUAUUUGUACACUUAAUCGGCCCCAAGCUACGCUGGGAAUCUUGGAUUGUGUGGGGAUCCUUUGCCUCUUUAUGAGGGUAGUACUAAGAAAGCACGUACGGGUGUAAUUAUUGGGGCGGCACUUGGCAGAUCUGUUGCGAUUGUUGCGUUAGUUGUAGGUGGCGGGAUGAUGUUCGUUAUGAGAAAAGUUGUUAGAAAAAUACAAAGGAAAAAGAAGAAGAUCCUGAUGAAAAUAAAUGGAUCCGGAGUAUCAAAGGAACCAAAAAGAUCAAGGCAAGAUGACUGAAUGCUUAUAUUAGCGGUGGAUAACGAGUCAAAACAUAUAUAUGUUUUUAAGUGCGGGUCGAAAUGGGUCGGGCUAUAUACACUUUUUGAAUAAGUUUUAGUCGUUAAAAAUCCACUUUUGACCCAAAACUCUAUUAUUCAAAAAGUUUUACCUUUUUCUUUAUAGCCAAAAGGAUUAGGAAAAAAGACGGGGGCUUAGAUGUUAAAAAUCUUUUUUUGGGCUAAAAGGGUAAAAGUGAUAUAGCCACAGGGGCCAAAAUCGUAAUUUACUCUUUUAUAAAUAAUCAGUGUGCCAAAUAUGAUUACAUACUUUUUGAAAUUUCAAAACAAUUUAGUUUAUUAAAUAAAAAUGAUUUGGGAUGAUAUAUGCAUUAAAA
Molecule: long non-coding RNA, 2102 nt
Organism: Helianthus annuus (common sunflower)
Lineage: Eukaryota; Viridiplantae; Streptophyta; Magnoliopsida; Asterales; Asteraceae
Exons: 3
Source: RefSeq, a predicted model, not a curated record